GCAAUCACUCAGAUGCGCUACAAAGGGGAGUGACUCUAGGAAACGUGCUGGACAUAGUGGAUGGCUUUGCCGCGAUGGGGUUCCCUAACUGUGGUGGGGCGAUAGACGGAAUGCACAUCCCUA
Molecule: long non-coding RNA, 123 nt
Organism: Gopherus evgoodei (Goodes thornscrub tortoise)
Lineage: Eukaryota; Metazoa; Chordata; Testudines; Testudinidae
Exons: 3
Source: RefSeq, a predicted model, not a curated record